This 486-nucleotide ribosomal RNA is filed under the name uncultured bacterium. RNAcentral describes it as "partial 16S ribosomal RNA". It matches the Rfam family "Bacterial small subunit ribosomal RNA", at positions 30 to 507 of the family's 1533-position model. The record is from RNAcentral.
AUUGAACGCUGGCGGCAUGCCUUACACAUGCAAGUCGAACGGCAGCACGGGUGCUUGCACCUGGUGGCGAGUGGCGCACGGGGGAGUAAUACAUCGGAACAUGUCCUGUAGUGGGGGAUAGCACGGCGAAAGCCGGGUUAAUACCGCAGACGAACUACGGAAGACGGAGGGGGCAAAUGUGAAAUCGGGCUUUGCGGUUGCUCGAUGGCUGAUUAGCUAGUUGGUGGGGUAAAGGCCUACCAAGGCGACGAUCAGUAGCUGGUCUGAGAGGACGACCAGCCACACUGGGACUGAGACACGGCCCAGACUCCUACGGGAGGCAGCAGUGGGGAAUUUUGGACAAUGGGCGAAAGCCUGAUCCAGCAAUGCCGCGUGUGUGAAGAAGGCCUUCGGGUUGUAAAGCACUUUUGUCCGGAAAGAAAUCCUUUGCCCUAAUACGGUCGGGGCAUGACGGUACCGGAAGAAUAAGCACCGGCUAACUACGUG